This 497-nucleotide ribosomal RNA is filed under the name uncultured bacterium. RNAcentral's name for it is "partial 16S ribosomal RNA". It matches the Rfam family "Bacterial small subunit ribosomal RNA", at positions 28 to 507 of the family's 1533-position model. The record is from RNAcentral.
GAUGAACGCUGGCGGCGUGCCUAAUACAUGCAAGUCGAGCGAACAGACGAGGUGCUUGCUCCUCUGACGUUAGCGGCGGACGGGUGAGUAACACGUGGAUAACCUACCUAUAAGACUGGGAUAACUUCGGGAAACCGGAGCUAAUACCGGAUAAUAUAUUGAACCGCAUGGUUCAAUAGUGAAAGACGGUUUUGCUGUCACUUAUAGAUGGAUCCGCGCCGCAUUAGCUAGUUGGUAAGGUAACGGCUUACCAAGGCAACGAUGCGUAGCCGACCUGAGAGGGUGAUCGGCCACACUGGAACUGAGACACGGUCCAGACUCCUACGGGAGGCAGCAGUAGGGAAUCUUCCGCAAAGGGCGAAAGCUUGACGGAGCAACGCCGCGUGAGUGAUGAAGGUCUUCGGAUCGUAAAACUCUGUUAUUAGGGAAGAACAAAUGUGUAAGUAACUAUGCACGUCUUGACGGUACCUAAUCAGAAAGCCACGGCUAACUACGUG